RNAcentral lists this transfer RNA (75 nucleotides) under Fomitiporia mediterranea MF3/22. RNAcentral's name for it is "tRNA-Tyr (GTA) (tRNA-Tyr-GTA-1-1)". It matches the Rfam family "tRNA". From Rfam's summary of the family: Transfer RNA (tRNA) molecules are approximately 80 nucleotides in length. The record is from RNAcentral. Lineage: Eukaryota; Fungi; Basidiomycota; Agaricomycetes; Hymenochaetales; Hymenochaetaceae.
CUCUGGGUAGCUCAGUUGGUUUAGAGCAUCAGACUGUAAAUCUGAGGGUCGCUGGUUCGACUCCGGCCCCGGAGA